GAGUUUGAUCGUGGCUCAGGAUGAACGCUAGCGGGAGGCCUAACACAUGCAAGCCGAGCGGUAUUGUUUCUUCGGAAAUGAGAGAGCGGCGUACGGGUGCGGAACACGUGUGCAACCUGCCUUUAUCUGGGGGAUAGCCUUUCGAAAGGAAGAUUAAUACUCCAUAACAUAUUUAACGGCAUCGUUUGAUAUUGAAAGCUCCGGCGGAUAGAGAUGGGCACGCGCAAAAUUAGCUAGUUGGUGAGGUAACGGCUCACCAAGGCGAUGAUCUUUAGGGGGCCUGAGAGGGUGAUCCCCACACUGGUACUGAGACACGGACCAGACUCCUACGGGAGGCAGCAGUGAGGAAUAUUGGUCAAUGGGUGCAAGCCUGAACCAGCCAUCCCGCGUGAAGGACGACUGCCCUAUGGUUGUAAACUUCUUUGUAUAGGGAUAAACCUACCUCGUGAGGGUAGCUGAAGGUACUAUACGAAUAAGCACAGGCUAACUCCGUGCCAGCAGCCGCGGUAAC
RNAcentral lists this ribosomal RNA (511 nucleotides) under uncultured microorganism. RNAcentral describes it as "bacterial SSU rRNA". It matches the Rfam family "Bacterial small subunit ribosomal RNA", at positions 9 to 524 of the family's 1533-position model. The record is from RNAcentral.